UGCACAUUGAGUGUAACAACAAAUGAUAGAAGAACUACAGAUAAUGCAACCAAUCAUGGGAAGAUGCCCAAGAUAAAAAGCAAAAAAAAAAAACAAGAAACCAAACACUCUUCAUCACAUGUGCGAGUAAAGAGGAUAAAAUAGCCAAGGGCCACCCACAAAGCAGAAAGAACAGAUCACCAUUCGAUCAAGAAAACACUGGUCUAGGUCCCACCAUGCCAAAAAUAACCAUGUGAAAGGCCUCUGAAAUCACGAGACUGUUGAUGGUCUGGAAAAACCAUGAAAGAGGGACUGCCAAAGCUCAAGACAUAUCCAGUGAUAAGCAUGCAAUUGGCUGUAACAGUUCACAGCAACUACUCCUGCACUGCAUGCAAAGAAUGUGAAAAAGAAUAUCAACUCCUCCAAUCAGCCCACUCAACAGAGACAUUCAUAUUCUGACAUACUUCAAGUUCCAUAAUGUCUGAUAGCUUCAAUAAACACGCAGCAUUCCGUGUCUUAUUGGCUGUAGCGAAGCACAUUGUCCCUCCCAUGAGGUGGUCGGUACGUCGGGUAGCUGCAAUGUCAACUUGCUCCACUUUCCAAACAGAACAUCUGUGUGGGAAGUCCGC
This 608-nucleotide long non-coding RNA is filed under the name Lepisosteus oculatus (spotted gar). RNAcentral describes it as "lncRNA (ENSLOCG00000021076.1)". Lineage: Eukaryota; Metazoa; Chordata; Actinopteri; Semionotiformes; Lepisosteidae. The record is from RNAcentral.